Molecule: ribosomal RNA, 253 nt
Filed under: uncultured bacterium
Lineage: Bacteria
Description: partial 16S ribosomal RNA
Rfam family: Bacterial small subunit ribosomal RNA
Source: RNAcentral
UACAGAGGUCCCGAGCGUUGUUCGGAUUCACUGGGCGUAAAGGGUGCGUGGGUGGUUGGGUAAGUUUGAUGUGAAAGCUCAGGGCUUAACCCUGAAAUGGCAUUGAAUACUACUUAACUGGAGGUUUGGAGGGGGGACUGGAAUUCUUGGUGUAGCAGUGAAAUGCGUAGAUAUCAAGAGGAACACCAGUGGCGAAGGCGAGUCCCUGGACAACACCUGACACUGAGGCACGAAAGCUAGGGGAGCAAACAGG